AGAACGAACGUUAGCGGCGCGCUUAACACAUGCAAGUCGUGCGAGAAGGGGAAACCCCGGUAAAGCGGCGCACGGGUGAGUAACACGUAGGUAACUCUACCCCCAGGUGGUGGAUAACGUUCCGAAAGGAGCGCUAAUACAGCAUAAGACCACGAUCCCGCAAGGGGUUGAGGUCAAAGCCGGCCUCUUCACGAAAGCUGGCGCCAGGGGAUGAGCCUGCGGCCCAUCAGCUAGUUGGUAGGGUAACGGCCUACCAAGGCGAAGACGGGUAGCUGGUCUGAGAGGAUGAUCAGCCACACUGGAACUGAGACACGGUCCAGACUCCUACGGGAGGCAGCAGUGGGGAAUCUUGCGCAAUGGGCGAAAGCCUGACGCAGCGACGCCGCGUGAGUGAUGAAGGCCUUUCCGGGGUUGUAAAGCUCUGUGGAGGGGGACGAAUAAGUCGUGGCUAACAUCCACGAUGAUGACGGUACCUCUUUAGCAAGCACCGGCUAACUCUGUGCCAGCAGCAGC
This 513-nucleotide ribosomal RNA is filed under the name uncultured bacterium. RNAcentral's name for it is "bacterial SSU rRNA". It matches the Rfam family "Bacterial small subunit ribosomal RNA", at positions 26 to 518 of the family's 1533-position model. The record is from RNAcentral.